UACGAAGGGUGCAAGCGUUACUCGGAAUUACUGGGCGUAAAGCGUGCGUAGGUGGUUUGUUAAGUCUGUUGUGAAAGCCCCGGGCUCAACCUGGGAAUGGCAAUGGAUACUGGCAGGUUAGAGUGCGGUAGAGGGUAGUGGAAUUCCCGGUGUAGCGGUGAAAUUCGUAGAUAUUCGGAAGAACACCAGUGGCGAAGGCGGCUCGCUGGACAUGUAUUGACGCUGAGGUGCGAAAGCGUGGGGAGCAAACAGG
This 253-nucleotide ribosomal RNA is filed under the name uncultured bacterium. Its description in RNAcentral is "partial 16S ribosomal RNA". It matches the Rfam family "Bacterial small subunit ribosomal RNA", at positions 524 to 776 of the family's 1533-position model. The record is from RNAcentral.